GCAUAUCACCUCAAGUUAUGAUCUUCAUUACAGGUAUUUAACGUUAUGUUAGUAUAAAGUUUCGACAUGACCCUGCAUUCCAAGCCAACUGAAAAAAUAAUUAUAAUAAUAGAACUCAAAUCUGCUUUCUGUAAACCAAUCCCUGUUUGCAACCUCUACAAGCUAAUUGAUUGCGGCAUAGAACAUGGUCCCAAAAUGUAUAAGGUGAUAUGCAAAUCUACACACGAUGAUCAGACUGAGCUCAGUCCCACCUCAAAAUGAGUACUCUUUUAAAUCUGCUUUUGAGUCAUCCAGGUCCACAUCUGCUAAGCACUCUUCCGCUGUGAGAGGUGGGAGUUGCUUGGUCUUGCGCUUCAAAUUAUGUUUGUGCCACUCACUCUUAAAGUGAUCCCUGUACUGUUUGGCAUCCCCAACAAAUGCAUUGCAUGUGUUGCACUUGUGUUGCUUUGCCUCCCCCUCAGUAUUCUUUUCCGUAGAGACUGUCUGCUUUUGCAAUUUCUCACUCAGUUGGACCACAGAAUCAGUAGACUCCUUAGGUAGGCUUGAUGGCACAUCUUCAUGAUCAUCGUAAUCAUCUACACUGGUGUCCCCUUCAAAAUGCACAGACAUUGCAAGAAUUUCCAGCCUGCCCUGCAGAUUCCUCACCAUGACAUCACACUCCCGAAAGAAGCCUGGGUCUAAUUCACAAAUAACAGAGAGCUGACUUCCAGAUUCAUCCUUUGAAACAAUGGUGGCAUACCAAGCAUUUAAACUUUUCUAGAAGAGUAGAAAGAUUUGGUUUGGCAAUAAUAAGUCGCAAUCUCAUUGGAGAACGCUUUAUUGGGAAGUGCUUUUGAAGCUCACGAAUAACUUCUAGUGCCUGCUUCUUGGAGCUGCUAUGUGGAUCAACAGCAAAGUGAAUUUCAUGCAUGAGUCGCUCAAUCAUGCUAAUAGUGUAAGGGCGUUGAGUUUCAGCAUUAAUUGUUUUCUGCAUAACAAUGGUUGCUAUAUCCCGAAACUGACUGGAUAACUGAGAUUCCCUCUCUUUCCCAGCAACUUGGAGCUCACCUUUCUCCAAUAUCUCAAGACAUAUUUUGGUCUGAUCAUCGGUUUUAAAGGCUAACAUUAAAUCCUUGGACUUUGCAAGAAUUCCUUUGGAAACAUUUGAAUAAACGGUAUGUGACUGCAACACUUCAUCCAAAUCUUUCUCUACGCCAGAGCGCCAAGAGAGGACCUUGUUCUUGUAGCAAGCAAUCUCGAAGCGAAUACCAUGCUUCUUUAAUCGAACCACCGCCACGUUCGUUAGCCUCUUUUGCCCUAUCGGCUGCUGCAGCACUUUCGACAUUUCUAUUGGCUGGCUAUCGUCUAUUGGUUGGUUGGUGUAUUCUCCGAUCUUCUCUUCUUUAACUUCAAUGCGUUGAGGCACCGCCUCAAGAGUCUUCUCUUCC
This 1427-nucleotide unclassified non-coding RNA is filed under the name Hevea brasiliensis (rubber tree). Lineage: Eukaryota; Viridiplantae; Streptophyta; Magnoliopsida; Malpighiales; Euphorbiaceae. The record is from RNAcentral.